RNAcentral lists this transfer RNA (87 nucleotides) under Geminicoccaceae bacterium. RNAcentral's name for it is "tRNA-Leu". It matches the Rfam family "tRNA". Rfam says of the family: Transfer RNA (tRNA) molecules are approximately 80 nucleotides in length. Their secondary structure includes four short double-helical elements and three loops (D, anti-codon, and T loops). Further hydrogen bonds mediate the characteristic L-shaped molecular structure. tRNAs have two regions of fundamental functional importance: the anti-codon, which is responsible for specific mRNA codon recognition, and the 3' end, to which the tRNAs corresponding amino acid is attached (by aminoacyl-tRNA synthetases). tRNAs cope with the degeneracy of the genetic code in two manners: having more than one tRNA (with a specific anti-codon) for a particular amino acid; and 'wobble' base-pairing, i.e. permitting non-standard base-pairing at the 3rd anti-codon position. The record is from RNAcentral. Lineage: Bacteria; Pseudomonadati; Pseudomonadota; Alphaproteobacteria; Geminicoccales; Geminicoccaceae.
GCCUCUGUGGUGGAAUUGGUAGACACGACAGACUCAAAAUCUGUUGCCCGCAAGGGCGUGCUGGUUCGAGUCCGGCCAGGGGCACCA